RNAcentral lists this ribosomal RNA (250 nucleotides) under uncultured bacterium. Its description in RNAcentral is "partial 16S ribosomal RNA". It matches the Rfam family "Bacterial small subunit ribosomal RNA", at positions 524 to 773 of the family's 1533-position model. The record is from RNAcentral. RNAcentral also lists the same sequence under 1 other name.
UACGGAGGGUGCAAGCGUUGUUCGGAAUUACUGGGCGUAAAGGGCGUGCAGGCAGGAUGGUAAGUCGGAUGUGAAAGCCCAGGGCUCAACCCUGGAAGUGCAUUCGAUACUGCUAUCCUAGAGUAUGGGAGAGGAGAGUGGAAUUCCGAGUGUAGAGGUGAAAUUCGUAGAUAUUCGGAGGAACACCCGUGGCGAAGGCGACUCUCUGGACCAAUACUGGCGCUGAGACGCGAAAGCGUGGGGAGCAAAC